This 1662-nucleotide ribosomal RNA is filed under the name Triticum aestivum (bread wheat). RNAcentral describes it as "partial small subunit ribosomal RNA". The record is from RNAcentral. Lineage: Eukaryota; Viridiplantae; Streptophyta; Magnoliopsida; Poales; Poaceae.
AUGCUCCGCCGCCAGCGCCACUUCCUCCCCGCCAAGCCCCGCCGCCGCCCGAAGCCCCAGCCCAAACCCGCCGCCAAGCCCUCCGCCCCGACGUACACCCGCGACGUCGUCCGGCGCGUGACCAACAUACUCCGCGACCACCCCUGGUCGGCGGCGCGCCCGCUCCUCCUCUCCCUCCCGGACCUCGUCUGGGACUCGCACGUCGUGGCGCGCGUCCUCAAGACCCACCCGCCCCUCCAGAAGGCCUUCCUCUUCUUCCGCCUCGCGGCCUCCCCGGCCGCCGGCCCCACACCCAGGGCCGCCUUCCGCCACGACCGCUACACCUACACCUCCAUGCUCCACCUCCUCGGCGAGGCCGGCCGGGUCCCCGCCAUGCUCCGCCUCCUCGCCGAGAUGCUCCGCGCCGGGGUCGACCCUGACGCCGCCACGUUCACGACCGUCAUGCACUGGCUGGCGCGCGCAGGGGACGUGGACGCCGCAAUGCGGGUGUGGGAAGAGAUGCGCUCCCGCAGGGGGAAGUGCCGCCCCACGCUCGUCAGCUACACGGCGUGCGUCAAGAUCCUGUUCGACGCCGGGAGGGCCGCCGAGGGCAGGCGGGUGUUCGAGGAGAUGGUGGCCGAGGGGCUGCGGCCCAGCUGCACCACCUACACCGUGCUCAUCGAGCAUCUCGCUGACGCAGGAAAAUUCCAAGCUACUCUACAAAUUAUGAGUGACAUGCAAGAUGCAGGCGUAGAACCAGACAAGCCACUCUGCAAUAUUCUAGUCAAGAAGUGUGCCAGCGCUGGUGAGACGUCAGUGAUGACCUUCAUUCUUCAGCACAUGAAGGAGAAAGGCAUUGUUCUCCGUAGGCCUGUCUUUUUGGAAGCACUAGAAGCUCUAAAAGCUAGUGGUGAGAGCCCUAAUCUUCUUUGGGAAGUGAAUCCUCAUCUUGCAUCUGAAGGAAUGGAAUAUGACCCAACAUUUUCUCAUCUAAGCUACAAUACUGACAGAAGUACGAUUAUAUACCUUUUGGCUUCUAGAAACUGGUCUGCUAUCGAACAAAUGGUAAAUGAAUUGACCACGAGGAAUGUGAAGUUUGAGUCGCAUAUACUAUCUGAUAUUAUUCAGGCCAGCUGUGCAAACUGCAGACCAUCAUGUGGACUCACAGUUCUGUACUAUGGUCUAAGAGUAGGCAGUGAACUUGACAGGUCUGCAUAUAGUUGCCUUCUUGGUCAAUACAUCAGAAAUGGUUCGUUUGAUUUGGUAUCUAAGAUUGUUGAAAGAUUAAUUAAGUGUGGCUGCAAUCUUGGAGCAUAUCUGUUAUCUGUCUUAAUACUCAGAUUGGGUUCUGCUGGGCAUUCUUCAUACGCGGCACAUAUCUUUGGGUUAUCACCUGCAGACCAGAAUGUGAUUACCUACACUGCCCUUAUGAAUGCCUAUUUUCAAGCUGGCGAAGUUGAUAAGGCUCUUGAACUAUUCUCUCAAAUGAUAACUAAUGAGAUAUCUGCUUCUGCGGGUACAUAUGAAGUACUGAUAUAUGGCCUGCAAAAGGCUGGGCGGAAACAGGACUCUGACCGUUACCGAAGAGAAAGAAUGGAGAUGCAAUGGCAUCGUCAGUACCGUGACAAGCAUUCCCCUGAAGAUAGCUUAUGUGACCAUUUAUUUUGUGGCUUUCAUGGUUAG